RNAcentral lists this ribosomal RNA (389 nucleotides) under uncultured Mycobacterium sp. RNAcentral's name for it is "bacterial SSU rRNA". It matches the Rfam family "Bacterial small subunit ribosomal RNA", at positions 523 to 910 of the family's 1533-position model. Lineage: Bacteria; Bacillati; Actinomycetota; Actinomycetes; Mycobacteriales; Mycobacteriaceae. The record is from RNAcentral.
AUACGUAGGGUGCGAGCGUUGUCCGGAAUUACUGGGCGUAAAGAGCUCGUAGGUGGUUUGUCGCGUUGUUCGUGAAAACUCACAGCUUAACUGUGGGCGUGCGGGCGAUACGGGCAGACUAGAGUACUGCAGGGGAGACUGGAAUUCCUGGUGUAGCGGUGGAAUGCGCAGAUAUCAGGAGGAACACCGGUGGCGAAGGCGGGUCUCUGGGCAGUAACUGACGCUGAGGAGCGAAAGCGUGGGGAGCGAACAGGAUUAGAUACCCUGGUAGUCCACGCCGUAAACGGUGGGUACUAGGUGUGGGUUCCUUCCUUGGGAUCCGUGCCGUAGCUAACGCAUUAAGUACCCCGCCUGGGGAGUACGGCCGCAAGGCUAAAACUCAAAGGAAU